RNAcentral lists this transfer RNA (67 nucleotides) under Propomacrus bimucronatus. Its description in RNAcentral is "tRNA-Ile". Lineage: Eukaryota; Metazoa; Arthropoda; Insecta; Coleoptera; Glaphyridae. The record is from RNAcentral.
AAUGAGGUGUCUGAAUAAAGAAUUAUUUUGAUAGAAUAAAACAAGCAAUUUAAACCUGCCCUCAUUA